AUGGCGACCAGCAGCUCAGUAGUAGUACUGGCCGUCCUGGCCACCGUCGCCGCGCUGGUCUCCCCGGCCAUGUCCCUUCCCGUCUUCACCGGCGACGUCGGCGUCUCUCCGGGCUUCCACGCCGCGUCGUGUCCGCAGCUGGACGGCGUCGUGCGGUCGUCCGUGGUGGCGGCGCUGCGGCAGGAGGUGGCGCUGGCGGCGGGCCUGCUCCGGCUCUACUUCCACGACUGCUUCCCGCAGGGCUGCGACGCCUCCAUCCUCCUCAACACCACCUCCGCCCGCGCAGGGCCGGUCCUGGGGAGGGGCGAACGGGGCGGCCGCCCCGGGCCCCCAAAAGCCAGGGGGCCCCUCCCAGCAGGCCAGCAGCAGGAUCUCUCAUCUCUUCGACCGAACAACAGGGUCAUGUCGAGUACAGGUAGAAAGUAUUCAUCUGUAAGUCAUAAAAGAAAGAAAGAAGAAGGAGGCAGACUGAUGGCAAUCCGGAAGAUGAUGGUCAUACUCCUACAGAAGGCAAUGUUGACGUCAACAUGGAUGAUAGCAAUCGUGGCCGCGCUGGUGGAGUCCUUCGGCACCCGGGGCCUCGGCGACGUGGCCGACCUCGUGGCGCUCUCCGGCGCGCACACCAUCGGGCGGUCGCACUGCGGCAGCUUCGCCGACCGGUACCGGCGCGCGGACGACACCUUCUCGCGGAAGCUGGCGGCCAACUGCAGCAAGCACCCGGACCGGCUGCAGAAUCUGGACGUGGUCACCCCCGACCUGUUCGACAACGGCUACUACAAGGCGCUGCGGUUCAACCAGGGCGUGCUCACCUCCGACAUGGCGCUCGUCAAGAAUAAGACCACGGCGGCCAUCGUGAAGCGGUUCGCCCAGAGCAAGGACGCCUUCUUCCGGCAGUUCGCCAGGUCCAUGGAGAAGCUCGCCAGGGCGCCCAAGCCGGCGGGCAACGUGGGCGAGAUCCGGCGCUUCAGCUGCUUCAGGACCAAUGCCCAACGCGCCGACGCUGCCGUGGACGCUGCCGGUGAGGAGGAGGAGGGCUUCGCCGCCUCCGCCUGA
Molecule: ribosomal RNA, 1053 nt
Filed under: Triticum aestivum (bread wheat)
Lineage: Eukaryota; Viridiplantae; Streptophyta; Magnoliopsida; Poales; Poaceae
Description: partial small subunit ribosomal RNA
Source: RNAcentral